UACGUAGGGGGCAAGCGUUAUCCGGAAUUACUGGGUGUAAAGGGUGAGUAGGCGGUUAUGUAAGCCAUAUGUGAAAGUCUGUAGCUCAACUAUAGAAUUGCAUAAGGAACUGUGUAACUAGAGUGCAGGAGAGGUAAGUGGAAUUCCUAGUGUAGCGGUGAAAUGCGUAGAUAUUAGGAGGAACACCAGUGGCGAAGGCGACUUACUGGACUGAAACUGACGCUGAGACACGAAAGCGUGGGGAGCAAACAGG
This 253-nucleotide ribosomal RNA is filed under the name uncultured bacterium. RNAcentral describes it as "partial 16S ribosomal RNA". It matches the Rfam family "Bacterial small subunit ribosomal RNA", at positions 524 to 776 of the family's 1533-position model. The record is from RNAcentral.